This 305-nucleotide ribosomal RNA is filed under the name uncultured bacterium. RNAcentral describes it as "bacterial SSU rRNA". It matches the Rfam family "Bacterial small subunit ribosomal RNA", at positions 334 to 653 of the family's 1533-position model. The record is from RNAcentral.
UGGGCCUACGGGAGGCAGCAGUGGGGAAUAUUGCACAAUGGGCGAAAGCCUGAUGCAGCAACGCCGCGUGAAGGAAGAAGGCCUUCGGGUCGUAAACUUCUGUCCUUGGGGAAGAAGAACUGACGGUACCCAAGGAGGAAGCCCCGGCUAACUACGUGCCAGCAGCCGCGGUAAUACGUAGGGGGCAAGCGUUGUUCGGAAUGACUGGGCGUAAAGGGUGCGUAGGCGGUUGUACAAGUUAGAAGUGAAAUACCCAGGGCUUAACUCGGGUGCUGCUUCUAAAACUGUAUGACUUGAGUGCAGUA